AUUGCCAACUUGUGAAGUAUACCUGCUGUGUGUGGUAGAAAAAUAAACUUGCUGUUUGGGUAUGAAUAUCUCUAUGGAUGGACGAGCAAUGGACGACAAUGGAGCAAUGGACGACAGUUUGAAAAUUUGGCGCAGCUCAAGAAGGAUUUGGUUGAAGAAUAGGCCAAAAUCGAAGAAAAACAUUGCAGGAUUUGGCUAAUUUAAUGUCUAAACGCUUGGCUGAAGUAAUUUCAAAGCACGGAGGCAAUACCCACUGUUAGUGUCCCAAUAAUUAUUUCUAAGGGAGCUAACGUAACAAUAUCAAUUUAUCG
Molecule: long non-coding RNA, 311 nt
Organism: Drosophila bipectinata
Lineage: Eukaryota; Metazoa; Arthropoda; Insecta; Diptera; Drosophilidae
Source: RefSeq, a predicted model, not a curated record